CCUACGGGAGCUGCAGUGGGGAAUAUUGGACAAUGGGCGAAAGCCUGAUCCAGCCAUGCCGCGUGUGUGAAGAAGGCCUUCGGGUUGUAAAGCACUUUCAGUGGGGAAGAAAGCCUUGGGGCUAAUACCCUCGAGGAAGGACAUCACCCACAGAAGAAGCACCGGCUAACUCCGUGCCAGCAGCCGCGGUAAUACGGAGGGUGCGAGCGUUAAUCGGAAUUACUGGGCGUAAAGCGCGCGUAGGCGGUCUGAUAAGCCGGUUGUGAAAGCCCCGGGCUCAACCUGGGAACGGCAUCCGGAACUGUCAGGCUAGAGUGCAGGAGAGGAAGGUAGAAUUCCCGGUGUAGCGGUGAAAUGCGUAGAGAUCGGGAGGAAUACCAGUGGCGAAGGCGGCCUUCUGGACUGACACUGACGCUGAGGUGCGAAAGCGUGGGUAGCAAACAGGAUUAGAUACCCCAGUAGUC
This 464-nucleotide ribosomal RNA is filed under the name Vreelandella stevensii. Its description in RNAcentral is "partial 16S ribosomal RNA". It matches the Rfam family "Bacterial small subunit ribosomal RNA", at positions 338 to 795 of the family's 1533-position model. Lineage: Bacteria; Pseudomonadati; Pseudomonadota; Gammaproteobacteria; Oceanospirillales; Halomonadaceae. The record is from RNAcentral.